GACGAACGCUGGCGGCGUGCUUAACACAUGCAAGUCGAACGGAAAGGCCCUGCUUUUGUGGGGUGCUCGAGUGGCGAACGGGUGAGUAACACGUGAGUAACCUGCCCUUGACUUUGGGAUAACUUCAGGAAACUGGGGCUAAUACCGGAUAGGAGCUCCUGCUGCAUGGUGGGGGUUGGAAAGUUUCGGCGGUUGGGGAUGGACUCGCGGCUUAUCAGCUUGUUGGUGGGGUAGUGGCUUACCAAGGCUUUGACGGGUAGCCGGCCUGAGAGGGUGACCAGCGACAUUGGUACUGAGAUACGGCCCAGACUCCAACGGGAGGCAGAAGUGGGGAGUAUUGCACAAUGGGCGGAAGCCUGAUGCAGCAACGCCGCGUGCGGGAUGACGGCCUUCGGGUUGUAAACCGCUUUCGCCUGUGACGAAGCGUGAGUGACGGUAAUGGGUAAAGAAGCACCGGCUAACUACGUG
Molecule: ribosomal RNA, 468 nt
Filed under: uncultured bacterium
Lineage: Bacteria
Description: partial 16S ribosomal RNA
Rfam family: Bacterial small subunit ribosomal RNA
Source: RNAcentral